GAAGCUGGAAUUGCUAGUAAUGGCAGGUCAGCAUACUGCCGUGAAUACGUUCCCGGGCCCUUGUACACACCACCCGUCACACCAUGAGAGUUGGGAAUACCCGAAGCCUGUGAGCCAACUUUUAAAGAGGCAACAGUCGAAGGUAGAAUCAAUGAUUGGGGUGAAGUCGUAACAAGGUAUC
Molecule: ribosomal RNA, 181 nt
Filed under: uncultured bacterium
Lineage: Bacteria
Description: partial 16S ribosomal RNA
Rfam family: Bacterial small subunit ribosomal RNA
Source: RNAcentral